RNAcentral lists this ribosomal RNA (500 nucleotides) under uncultured bacterium. Its description in RNAcentral is "bacterial SSU rRNA". It matches the Rfam family "Bacterial small subunit ribosomal RNA", at positions 29 to 509 of the family's 1533-position model. The record is from RNAcentral.
AACGAACGCUGGCGGCGGGGCUUAGGCAUGCAAGUCGAGCGAGAAAGUCUUCGGACGAGUACAGCGGCGCAAGGGUGAGUAAUGGUUAGUCAACGUACCCUCAGGACAUGGAUAAUUCGCCGAAAGGUGUUGUAAUACAUGAUGAUAUCACGUGCCGUACGCGGCGUGUGAUCAAACGUCGGGGAUCCUUCGGGACCUGGCGCCUGUGGAGCGGACUAACUCUGAUUAGCUAGUUGGCGGUGUAACGGACCACCAAGGCGAUGAUCAGUAGCCGGGCUGAGAGGCUGUCCGGCCACACGGGCACUGAGACACUGGCCCGACUCCUACGGGAGGCUGCAGUCGCGAAUUUUUCACAAUGGACGCAAGUCUGAUGAAGCCACGCCGCGUGCGGGAUGAAGGCCCUCUGGGUUGUAAACCGCUGUCAGGGGAGGGGAAACGUACGUAGUUAAUAGCUGCGUACUUGACUGCUCUCCAAAGGAAGCCCCGGCAAAACAUGUGCC